Molecule: small nuclear RNA, 103 nt
Filed under: Pogona vitticeps (central bearded dragon)
Lineage: Eukaryota; Metazoa; Chordata; Lepidosauria; Squamata; Agamidae
Source: RNAcentral
UUGCUUAGGCAGCACAUAUUCUAAAACUGGAAUGAUACAGAGAAGAUUAACAUGGCCCAUGCACAAGGAUGACAUGCAAAUUUGUGAAGCAUCCUCCCCCCCC